AUGCCAUAUUCUGGAAGCGUCAGCAGGCAUGAGAAAUGAUGCUGUGUUCCAGAGCAGUUUAGGGAUUUCAGCAAAAUCACUACAUUUGAUUACGAAAUAUGUCUUGUAUGUGAGCUGGAAUAUUCUAGUAAAGUACUAAACUUGCAAAGUCAUUGGAAUAUUCCAGUGUAACACUUGAAAAUUGCAGAAUCAUUGUAUUUGGCAGGAAUUGCUGUUCCUUCUGGGGUGGGUGGCCAACACCACAGAAUGUUCUAGCAAGAUUGGACCUACACUGGGAAAGUACUGAUUCUCAUGACUUGUGGUAAAUAAAUUGGUUAUAUGUAGCUGGGGCUCCCUGCACUCAGGCAGAAGCCUCACCUGUUGAGCGGACACACUGCCCAGGACUGUUUUCCCGAUGAAGACUCCUGCCUGACUGCAAUGGGGCUUCCCAGUCAAGAAUGAAGACAGGAUGAAGCUUUCUCUUUAUCGAUGAACAAACAAGAAUUUCAGAAGCUAAUAUACCAGAUGAUUCUGAGCAAAUGGGGAUGGCAAAAUGGGCACAUCAGAAGUGCGGACACCUGGGAGAAAAGGCCACUUACAGAUUCCAAUUCCAAUGCUAAUUGUUGCUGGUUUCGCAUUGUAUGGAGUCCCUUUGUCAGAGUGUGUAACACCAGGAGUAAGAGCAACUAAAAUGAAUUCAAUGGUACUCCAGUGGGGAUGGGCUGCUAGUACACGAAAUAGAACAUAAGAAAAUUUUACCUGCUCGGCUGGACAAGGAUGUCCUACUACCAAUUUGACUUUUGAAGGAAAUUUAACUAUUUGGAGGUUAAGAAGAUGGCAUUGUUAUGUUCAGUUACUAGAUGACAGACAAGCUACGGUAAUAAUUCAAAAUUACACAGACAUAAAAUGUUGUAAUUGUAAAUAUGAACAGACAUACUGAAAAAAAAUUACUGCUUUUGCCAGAAUGGAACGGAUAUUUAUAAUAAAUCAAUUGAUUUACAGAA
This is a long non-coding RNA of Protopterus annectens (West African lungfish), 983 nucleotides long. RefSeq lists it as uncharacterized. The record is from RefSeq and is a predicted model, not a curated record. The transcript has 3 exons. NCBI's taxonomy places the organism in Eukaryota, Metazoa, Chordata, Ceratodontiformes, Protopteridae.